Molecule: long non-coding RNA, 2469 nt
Filed under: Struthio camelus australis
Lineage: Eukaryota; Metazoa; Chordata; Aves; Struthioniformes; Struthionidae
Description: lncRNA (ENSSCUG00000006609.1)
Source: RNAcentral
UGAAGAGUGCCAGCAAGGCCCCACCGCUGCCGCGGAAGAUCAGCCCCACGGUGUACGAGACGUUCCUGGAGCAGAGCGACAUCGCAAGCGGAGGGAAGGCACCAGCAUUGCCGACACUGGAUGGAAAGAAGGGGCUGAAGUCACCCCCUCCUCCGCCACCAAAGUCCAAAUGGGUGUCACAGCUCUGACGCGAUGCCCACCCGUAGCUGCACCGUCCACUCGGGACCAGCCUUGCCCGUGAGGACGGGAAAGCCCGUGGCCCCCCUGCUCCCAGCUGUCUCCUAGACAGACUCCUGCUCUCAUCCUUCCUUGCUGGACAAUCCCUCUCACAGUUCUCUCGUAGCAUCCACGUCAGGAGCAUCCCACGUGGCCAAGGCUGCCGGACUCCCUGCGUGCCCAGGGCUGCAGGGCAGAUGCAGGGCAUCACCAGCCCACAUCCAGCCAGGUCUGGCGAUUGCCACCCUCCACCGUCUCCGAGGGUGCGCAAGCCCCGCAGCGGGCAGCACGGGGACCCACCUUCCUGCCCAGGGACACCUCCCCUGCCCCUGCGCUCUGCGUCAGCCCCCGGGCCAGGCUUUCCUUCCCGCUAACCCAAGCCAGCUACGCUUCACCAGUGCCAGGGCUUCUCCCCCCCCAAACUGCACUGAGCUCUCAGCCCCUCUGGUGGUGCAGCUACACCGCGGCGGAGAGGUCUUCCCUCCGCCCUGAGCUGCCUGCAGACCAUCCCAGGAGCAGGGCAACGAGACGAGCUCCCUGCCACCACGUGCCAGACUCUUCCGCCCCUGCUGCUCUCCACCCCAAGGGAACCUCCCUUCCCUUGGAUGCCUACCCCAUCCUGCAGCAAGAGCAAGCAUGUCUGGCCAGGACGCCAGGCUGCACAGGCUCCAGCCCCACCGGUGCCAGGCUGAUGCUGCUGCCUCCAUCAGCCAUGCCAGGCUCCAGCGAUGCCACAGUGAUUCUCUGUGCCCCGGCCUCCCUGUUGCAGCAGGCUGCGACCACGCGCCUACCAAUAAAGGACUAACUCAGCUGGGUACCCUGCAGGGGGCUGACAGCCCUGUAUGCCCCCAGCGCUCACCCAUGCGCGCGCCCAGCACCCCAGGGGCCUUUCCGAGGCCAGCCGCCAUCCAGCACCGGAUCGCGCUCCAAAGAGCGGGGCCUUGCUCUCCCACAGCCUGGAGCCCCCUCGGCAGGGAAAGCCAUGGCAGCUUGGCGCCACCGGGGAGCACGCUCUCCCCCAGGCCGGCAGUGCCCGGGCUCUCGCAAAGCGACUGUCGGCACACUGCUCUGCCUCCAGAGCUGGCACAGAGUUAUUUAUUUACACGCGCUGUUGCAGGCUCAGGAGCUGUAUUUACAGUCUUCCGUAGUAAGCAGGAGGACCCUGCACCCGCAGCCAAGGGAUGGAGAGGGCAGGGGCUGCCUGCAGCAGGGAGCCGCCAUCAAUGGGUUUCUGGCUACAGGAGAGGGAAAGGAUCGGCUCCCUAGGCCAGAGCGAGGGAAGGGACAAGGGGAGACGGCGCCUUGCGCCGCAAACAUGAAGUCUGGGACCAGAUGGGCUGUGCUGGUGCCUGGACUCCCUCCACACGCCGACUGGAGGAGCAGGGGAGUGGAGCCACCUGUCUGUCGCUGCGGCUAGCUCUUCACAGCGGGUUUUCCGAGGAGGCUGCCAGCCGCUUCCCAAUGUAGAUCCUGGAUUGGAGAGACAGACUGUAAGGCGCCUGGGAGGACAGCUAAUGCGGGUUCAGCGAGUCAGUGGUGAGAGGCAGAGGACAGCAGCCGCAAAGGAGACACACGGUUGCAGGGAGAAGUGGUACAAGACCGAAGGGUGAACAGUCCAACUGCAGGAGAGCUCCUCCGCAUCCCAACUUCCCGUGGGAACGGUCCCCUGGGUCAGGACAGCCAGAGGCUGCCGCAUGACCUCAGAGAGCGCAGACACCCAGAAGAGCUGGGCUGCGCUCCGCCUGCACCCUCAGGGGUCAGUUCUGGCCAACGCCGCUCGACAGCACAAAUCAGACCCAUGGGAAACUCACCCCAGCCCCAGGGUCAGCAGAUGGCUGAGCAGCAGUGAGGGGAUGAAGAGCAGCAGCACCUCUGAACUGAAGAGUCUCUUCUUCCUCCCCACCGCACCACCCUGCAGGCUCCACAGGGCCGGCUGGGGGGAGCACACAAAGGCAAAUUCCCUAGGAAAAGCACACCGUUAGAGGGGGCACAAGAGAAAGGGGCAGAACAAGGCAGGGCGACGAGGAGACAGCACUGGGGUAGACAGCAAACGGGGCAGGGGGACAGCUGGACCUGUUGAUGGGGGACAGAAGCCUUACUUUGGAGACCGACGCUCAUGGCGGCGGGUGCGGGCCCAGGCGAGGGAUGCCGGCGAGCGCCUCUCCCUCCGCUCGACCUCCUCCGGCGUGUCCCACUACAACGAGAGCAGGCGCGGGGCAGGGCAGGAGUGCGGGCCCCAUGGGGUGCGGGCGG